AGAGUUUGAUCAUGGCUCAGAUUGAACGCUGGCGGCAUGCCUUACACAUGCAAGUCGAACGGUAACAGGUCUUCGGACGCUGACGAGUGGCGAACGGGUGAGUAAUACAUCGGAACGUGCCCAGUCGUGGGGGAUAACUACUCGAAAGAGUAGCUAAUACCGCAUACGAUCUGAGGAUGAAAGCGGGGGACCUUCGGGCCUCGCGCGAUUGGAGCGGCCGAUGGCAGAUUAGGUAGUUGGUGGGAUAAAAGCUUACCAAGCCGACGAUCUGUAGCUGGUCUGAGAGGACGACCAGCCACACUGGGACUGAGACACGGCCCAGACUCCUACGGGAGGCAGCAGUGGGGAAUUUUGGACAAUGGGCGAAAGCCUGAUCCAGCAAUGCCGCGUGCAGGAUGAAGGCCUUCGGGUUGUAAACUGCUUUUGUACGGAACGAAAAAGCUCCUUCUAAUACAGGGGGCCCAUGACGGUACCGUAAGAAUAAGCACCGGCUAACUACGUGCCAGCAGCCGCGGUAAUACGUAGGGUGCGAGCGUUAAUCGGAAUUACUGGGCGUAAAGCGUGCGCAGGCGGUUAUGUAAGACAGAUGUGAAAUCCCCGGGCUCAACCUGGGAACUGCAUUUGUGACUGCAUGGCUAGAGUACGGUAGAGGGGGAUGGAAUUCCGCGUGUAGCAGUGAAAUGCGUAGAUAUGCGGAGGAACACCGAUGGCGAAGGCAAUCCCCUGGACCUGUACUGACGCUCAUGCACGAAAGCGUGGGGAGCAAACAGGA
This 772-nucleotide ribosomal RNA is filed under the name uncultured bacterium. Its description in RNAcentral is "bacterial SSU rRNA". It matches the Rfam family "Bacterial small subunit ribosomal RNA", at positions 8 to 777 of the family's 1533-position model. The record is from RNAcentral.